Malania oleifera is the source of this 1605-nucleotide long non-coding RNA. RefSeq lists it as uncharacterized. Lineage: Eukaryota; Viridiplantae; Streptophyta; Magnoliopsida; Santalales; Ximeniaceae. The transcript is spliced from 2 exons. The record is from RefSeq and is a predicted model, not a curated record.
UCACAACGCGGAUGCGCCGUCCCACAGCUUAGAUGGUUUCCUUCCUGCUUUCCCUUGUUAGGGUUCUUGUGGAAAUGGGAAGCUGAAUCCUGCGCUUUAGCUGGUAUUGGUACAGCAGGUCUCUUUCAAUUGCAGGGUGCCAUGCCAGAAUUUGCGAGCUUUGGACUCAAUCGCGUAAACCCCCAAUCUCUCAGGCGAGGCGAUUCAGGAUUCAUGGCGGGUGACUCAGAUUCAUCUCCAUCUCCUAGCAAACUCCUCAAACCCUAAACCCUAGCCCUACCCGCGUCUUCCACGUCUUUCUCCAAAGGCAAUGACAAGUUCCAAGAACCCAAAGAUGAUCCUGUAGAAGAAGAAGAAGAAGAGGAAGGAGGUGGGGAGGAAUUGAUGGAUUCAGAUCCGAGCUGAUGCGGGGUUUGUUUAUCGGGAGAAGGGAAGACCAUCAGAGGGUGGAUCGACAGCUGUGACCACCACCUCUGCUUCGCCUGCAUCAUGGAGUGGGCCACGGUUGAGUCUCGCUGCCCCAUGUGCAAGCGGCGCUUCUCCUCCAUUCGCAGGCCGCCCAAGGAGGGUGUGUUUGCUUGUGAACGGAUUGUCGAUGUUCCUGCUCGGGAUCAGGUGACCCGCUCCCUUCACCGGGUCAAUGGCUGGGCUGGGUUUAAUGACAUUGGCUGGUAGUGAUGGAUCCCUCAAAAUGUGUGCCAACUCAGACAAUCCAUUUUAUCAAACACCGUCAAGAUAUCUUGAAGAAAACCAAAAUUUUGUAGCUUCGACCUUUCUUGCAAUUCUGGAAGUUGCAGAAGAAGAGAUGAAAAACUCCGCAUGGACGUCCCAGUGCGGUUGGGUGUGUGCACCACCAGCAAGUGUCCUCCAGGAAUGGCCUUGGGGAUGCUGAUGAUCAAGGGUUGGUGAAUCUGUUGGUGGUGAUGAUGUCAAGAAAUUUUGGCUGGUGUGCGGGAGCUCUUCGUUCAUCAGAUGACAACUAAACUUUGGUGAAGGCCUUUCAGGGGUCUCUGUCUCCAGUGGUGGCGGAGAUAUUACAAGAAUACUCUAGCAAUGUGGUGUUCGAAAGUGAGGGGCAGUGACUGUAAUUUUGUCUAAAAUUUGCAGGAUGAUGAACAGUGACAUGAUAUGUUUGUGAGUGCCUGGUAUGGCUUUGCAACUAUAAGUUUCACUCUGAUUGUGGUUUGAGUUUGGGAUUGGGAUGAAUCUUCAAUGGAGAUUGCGCUGGGUGAAUGAUUGCAAUUUUCUCUAAUGCCAAAUGAUGCCAUAACAGCUGUAAGGGUGUUGGCCAGAGGGAAAAUAGGGAGAGAAAUAGAAAGAGGAGGAUGGAAGAAGAAGAGGGAGGGAAGAAGAAGAAGAUGGAAGUUGGGUGGAAUGGGGGCUCAUGUUUAACCUCCACUUGAAAUUCACAUAUGAAAUUGCUCCCCAUGUGGUUGUCAAGACAGACUCAAAGUUCAAUUGCAGGUGCAUAAUUUCCGUGAUUUGGAAGAUGAACACCUUAUCAUGGUAUUUGCAUACUCUUUUUAAUGGUUCUUGCACUACAAACUGAAUGUAUACUAAAAGGACUAUAUUAAGACAGUCUACAAUAUGAAUUAUUUAUUUCUA